AGCUGUAUAGAUGCUUCAUGGUAGAGUAUCUGCUUUGCAUGCAGAAGGUCCCAGGUUCGAUCCCGGACAUUUCCAGGUAAGGCUC
Molecule: non-coding RNA, 85 nt
Organism: Podarcis lilfordi (Lilford's wall lizard)
Lineage: Eukaryota; Metazoa; Chordata; Lepidosauria; Squamata; Lacertidae
Source: the annotation of a GenBank genome assembly